RNAcentral lists this ribosomal RNA (332 nucleotides) under uncultured eukaryote. Its description in RNAcentral is "partial 18S ribosomal RNA". It matches the Rfam family "Eukaryotic small subunit ribosomal RNA", at positions 1470 to 1796 of the family's 1831-position model. The record is from RNAcentral.
CCCUUAGAUGUUCUGGGCUGCACACGUGCUACACUGGCAGGUUCAGCGAGCUUCAUGCCCUGAUCUGAAAGGAAUGGGAAAUCUUUUCAAAACCUGCCGUGCUUGGGAUAGAUGUUUGCAAUUAUUCAUCUUCAACGAGGAUUGCCUUGUAAGCGCACGUCAUCAGCGUGCAUUGAAUACGACCCUGUAUUCUGUACACACCGCCCGUCGCUCCUACCGAUUGAAGUUUUCGGUGAGUUGACAGGAGGAUUUUUUUGAAACUGGUACGCCAGUGGAUUUUAGAUCCAAAUGCCAACGAAUCGAUGGCUUUAGAGGAAGGAGAAGUCGUAACA